Molecule: ribosomal RNA, 801 nt
Filed under: uncultured archaeon
Lineage: Archaea
Description: bacterial SSU rRNA
Rfam family: Archaeal small subunit ribosomal RNA
Source: RNAcentral
AGUCAACCUAACCUAUGGACGGGGGUAACCUCGGGAAACUGAGAAUAAUACCCGAUAGAUCAUAAUGCCUGGAAGGGUUUAUGAUCCAAAUGAUUUAUCGCCAUAGGAUGGGACUGCGGUCUAUCAGCUUGUUGGUGAGGUAAUGGCCCACCAAGGCUAUAACAGAUACGGGCUCUGAGAGGAGGGGCCCGGAGAUGGGUACUGAGACACGGACCCAGGUCCUAUGGGGCGCAGCAGGCGAGAAACCUUUGCAAUGUGCGAAAGCACGACAAGGUUAAUCCGAGUGGUUCCUGCUAAAGGAAUCUUUUGUUAGUCCUAAAAACACUGAUGAAUAAGGGGUGGGCAAGUUCUGGUGUCAGCCGCCGCGGUAAUACCAGCACCUCGAGUGGUCAGGAGGUUUAUUGGGCCUAAAGCAUCCGUAGCCGGCUGCACAAGUUUCCGGUUAAAUCCACAUGCUUAACGUAUGGGCUGCCGGAAAUACUAUGCAGCUAGGGAGUGGGAGAGGUAGACGGUACUCGAUAGGAAGGGGUAAAAUCCUUUGAUCUAUUGAUGACCACCUGUGGCGAAGGCGGUCUACCAGAACACGUUCGACGGUGAGGGAUGAAAGCUGGGGGAGCAAACCGGAUUAGAUACCCGGGUAGUCCCAGCUGUAAACGAUGCAGACUCGGUGAUGCAUUGGCUUGUGGCCAGUGCAGUGCCGCAGGGAAGCCGUUAAGUUUGCCGCCUGGGGAAGUACGUACGCAAGUAUGAAACUUAAAGGAAUUGGCGGGGGAGCACCACAAGGGGUGAAGCCUGCGGUUC